GGCUUAAUGAAUAAUAAUUUUAAGUCGAUCUGCCCAAUGAUUAAUAUUUAAUGGCUGCAGUAUAUCUGACUGUACAAAGGUAGCAUAAUCGAUUGUUUUUUAAUUGGAAACUGGAAUGAAAGAAUUAAUGAGAUAUAUACUGUCUCAUAUAUAUUUAAUGAAUUUAAAUUUUUAGUAAAAAUGCUUAAAUAGUUUUAUGGGACGAUAAGACCCUAUAGAAUUUUAUAUUAAUUAAUAGAUAAUAUAAUAAGUUAUUUUAUAAAUUAAUAUUUAGUUGGGAGGAUUGGUAAAUUAAUUUAACUUUAUUUUAUAUUUUAACUUUGAUUUAAGAAUUAAUAAUGUUCUUGUAUUAUAAAUUAAAAGAGUAAAUUACCUUAGGGAUAACAGCGUAAUAUCUUUUGAAAGAUCAUAUUAAUAAAGAUGUUUGCGACCUCGAUGUUGAAUUAAGAUAAAUUUUAAAUGCAGAAGUUUAAUAAUUAAGUCUGUUCGACUUUUAAAAUCUUACAUGAUUUGAGUUCAAAUCGACGUGAGU
This 532-nucleotide ribosomal RNA is filed under the name Bombus pratorum. Its description in RNAcentral is "partial 16S ribosomal RNA". The stretch from base 380 to 532 matches the Rfam family "Bacterial large subunit ribosomal RNA", at positions 2473 to 2626 of the family's 2925-position model. Lineage: Eukaryota; Metazoa; Arthropoda; Insecta; Hymenoptera; Apidae. The record is from RNAcentral.